This 468-nucleotide ribosomal RNA is filed under the name uncultured bacterium. RNAcentral describes it as "SSU rRNA". It matches the Rfam family "Bacterial small subunit ribosomal RNA", at positions 26 to 518 of the family's 1533-position model. The record is from RNAcentral.
AGGACUAACGCUGGCGGCGUGCCUAACACAUGCAAGUCGAACGGGCUGUAGCAAUACAGCCAGUGGCAGACGGGUGAGUAACACGUAGAUAACCUACCCCUCCGUUGGGGAUAGCCACUGGAAACGGUGGGUAAAACCGAAUAUUCUCAUUUGAAGGCAUCUUCGGGUGAGGAAAACUCUGGUGUGGAGGGAUGGGUUUGCGACCUAUUAGCUAGUUGGUGUGGUAAUAGCGCACCAAGGCGACGAUGGGUAACCGGUCUGAGAGGACGGUCGGUCACACUGGCACUGAGAUACGGGCCAGACUCCUACGGGAGGCAGCAGUGAGGGAUUUUGCACAAUGGAGGAAACUCUGAUGCAGCGACGCCGCGUGCGGGACGAAGCCUUUCGGGGUGUAAACCGCUGUCAGUGGGGAAGAGUAGGGACGGUACCCACUGAGGAAGCAUCGGCUAACUACGUGCCAGCAGCCGC